GAGACCUGCGCAUUGCAUACUUGCGAUUCAUUAAAUCGUGGUCGUCUGGUCGUCGCUGUCGUUGCUCUCGCGCGGACGUCGUCGUCGCUGCUCUGCCGACUUAUUGUUAUUGUUUUUACUUUAAAGAGCUUGUGCUUUUUUUUUAUUAUUUGACAUCUGAAGACACGCAUUUGUUUGUGCCGCGUGCUGCGCAGGGACACCGCCUACAAUUGAAGUUGUAACAACAACAACAAGAACAGCAGCAAGAGGAAGAGCAAGAGAGGAGCAACAACAAUAAUAAGAAUAACAACAACUUCAAGAAGUGCAGCAACGGCUCAAUGUGCUGGAGUGCCUUGAGUAAAAUUCUAUGCAACAAUGUGACCCGACACUGAUGAAGGCGAGAGCGAAGCAACAGAAGCAACCAAUUGACAGCAACUUCAGCGACAACGAACGCAUCGAAUUUUAAUUAGCGUAGACAAAGAAACACUUGUAGAAUUGCUGAAGAAUAGCAAACCAAACAAAUACCACGCUGAGAGCGAGCAGACUGAGCAACGAGUAGGCGAAGCCCGAGAGAGA
Molecule: long non-coding RNA, 555 nt
Organism: Drosophila innubila
Lineage: Eukaryota; Metazoa; Arthropoda; Insecta; Diptera; Drosophilidae
Exons: 3
Source: RefSeq, a predicted model, not a curated record